This 406-nucleotide ribosomal RNA is filed under the name uncultured bacterium. Its description in RNAcentral is "partial 16S ribosomal RNA". It matches the Rfam family "Bacterial small subunit ribosomal RNA", at positions 30 to 526 of the family's 1533-position model. The record is from RNAcentral.
AUUGAACGCUGGCGGCAGGCCUAAAACAUGCAAGUCGAGCGAGCGGCGGACGGGUGAGUAAUUUUUGGGGAUCUGCCUGAUGGAGGGGGAUAACUACUGGAAACGGUGGCUAAUACCGCAUACUAUCGGAUGAACCCACAUGGGAUUAGCUAGUAGGUGGGGUAAAGGCUCACCUAGGCGACGAUCUCUAGCUGGUAUGGGAGGCUGAUCAGCCACACAGGGACUGAGACACGGCCCAGACUCCUACGGGAGGAAGCAUUGGGGAAUAUUGGACAAUGGGCGCAAGCCUGAUGCAGCCAUGCCGCGUGUAUGAAGAAGGCCUUGGGGUUGUAAAGUACUUUCGUCGAGAAGGCGUUGCCCGCAGAAGAAGCACCGGCUAACUCCGUGCCAGCCGCCACGGUAAUUC